This 207-nucleotide unclassified non-coding RNA is filed under the name uncultured fungus. RNAcentral's name for it is "sequence contains ITS1". Lineage: Eukaryota; Fungi. The record is from RNAcentral.
UUAACUUAUUUAGCUAAUUGCUCAGACUGCAAUCUUCAGACAGCGUUCAAUGGUGUCUUCGGCGGGCGCGGGCCCGGGGGCGUGAGCCCCCCGGCGGCCAGUUAAGGCGGGCCCGCCGAAGCAACAAGGUAAAUAAACACGGGUGGGAGGUUGGACCCAGAGGGCCCUCACUCGGUAAUGAUCCUUCCGCAGGUUCACCUACGGAAA